This 333-nucleotide ribosomal RNA is filed under the name uncultured Bacillus sp. Its description in RNAcentral is "bacterial SSU rRNA". It matches the Rfam family "Bacterial small subunit ribosomal RNA", at positions 35 to 358 of the family's 1533-position model. Lineage: Bacteria; Bacillati; Bacillota; Bacilli; Caryophanales; Bacillaceae. The record is from RNAcentral.
GCUGGCGGCGUUCCUAAUACAUGAGAAUAAAGCGAAUCUUGAGGAGCUUGCUCCUGAUGGUUAGCGUCGGCCGGGUGAGUAACAAAAAGGCAACCUGCCUGUAAGACUGGGAUAACACCGGGAAACCGGUGCUAAUACCGGAUAAUUCUUUUCCUCUCAUGAGGGAAAGCUGAAAGUCGGUUUCGGCUGACACUUGCAGAUGGGCCCGCGGCGCAUUAGCUAGUUGGUGAGGUAACGGCUCACCAAGGCGACGAUGCGUAGCCGACCUGAGGGGGUGAUCGGCCACACUGGGACUGAGACACGGCCCAGACUCCUACGGGAGGCAGCAGUGGG